Molecule: non-coding RNA, 225 nt
Organism: Myotis lucifugus (little brown bat)
Lineage: Eukaryota; Metazoa; Chordata; Mammalia; Chiroptera; Vespertilionidae
Source: Rfam
UUAUCUUACCUGUUUUGUCCCUGGACUUUCUGACCAUCUUCCUUGUGUUCACUCAGCCUACAGAUUUGGUACCUGGAUUUCUGUCCAUGGUGAUUUCUGUCACCUUACUACUGAAGAAGAUACCAUUCCAGUGGACCACUGUGACCCAAGGGACAUUCAACCAUCAUGAUGUGGUCUUCACCUCCAUUCCUGUCCUCCUCUACCCAGAUUGAGCACCAUCCUUUA